GGGUUGUGAGGUUAAGCGACUAAGCGUACACGGUGGAUGCCCUGGCAGUCAGAGGCGAUGAAGGACGUGCUAAUCUGCGAUAAGCGUCGGUAAGGUGAUAUGAACCGUUAUAACCGGCGAUUUCCGAAUGGGGAAACCCAGUGUGUUUCGACACACUAUCAUUAACUGAAUCCAUAGGUUAAUGAGGCGAACCGGGGGAACUGAAACAUCUAAGUACCCCGAGGAAAAGAAAUCAACCGAGAUUCCCCCAGUAGCGGCGAGCGAACGGGGAGCAGCCCAGAGCCUGAAUCAGUGUGUGUGUUAGUGGAAGCGUCUGGAAAGGCGCGCGAUACAGGGUGACAGCCCCGUACACAAAAAUGCACAUGCUGUGAGCUCGAUGAGUAGGGCGGGACACGUGGUAUCCUGUCUGAAUAUGGGGGGACCAUCCUCCAAGGCUAAAUACUCCUGACUGACCGAUAGUGAACCAGUACCGUGAGGGAAAGGCGAAAAGAACCCCGGCGAGGGGAGUGAAAAAGAACCUGAAACCGUGUACGUACAAGCAGUGGGAGCCUCUUUUAUGGGGUGACUGCGUACCUUUUGUAUAAUGGGUCAGCGACUUAUAUUCUGUAGCAAGGUUAACCGAAUAGGGGAGCCGAAGGGAAACCGAGUCUUAACUGGGCGUUAAGUUGCAGGGUAUAGACCCGAAACCCGGUGAUCUAGCCAUGGGCAGGUUGAAGGUUGGGUAACACUAACUGGAGGACCGAACCGACUAAUGUUGAAAAAUUAGCGGAUGACUUGUGGCUGGGGGUGAAAGGCCAAUCAAACCGGGAGAUAGCUGGUUCUCCCCGAAAGCUAUUUAGGUAGCGCCUCGUGAAUUCAUCUCCGGGGGUAGAGCACUGUUUCGGCAAGGGGGUCAUCCCGACUUACCAACCCGAUGCAAACUGCGAAUACCGGAGAAUGUUAUCACGGGAGACACACGGCGGGUGCUAACGUCCGUCGUGAAGAGGGAAACAACCCAGACCGCCAGCUAAGGUCCCAAAGUCAUGGUUAAGUGGGAAACGAUGUGGGAAGGCCCAGACAGCCAGGAUGUUGGCUUAGAAGCAGCCAUCAUUUAAAGAAAGCGUAAUAGCUCACUGGUCGAGUCGGCCUGCGCGGAAGAUGUAACGGGGCUAAACCAUGCACCGAAGCUGCGGCAGCGACACUGUGUGUUGUUGGGUAGGGGAGCGUUCUGUAAGCCUGCGAAGGUGUGCUGUGAGGCAUGCUGGAGGUAUCAGAAGUGCGAAUGCUGACAUAAGUAACGAUAAAGCGGGUGAAAAGCCCGCUCGCCGGAAGACCAAGGGUUCCUGUCCAACGUUAAUCGGGGCAGGGUGAGUCGACCCCUAAGGCGAGGCCGAAAGGCGUAGUCGAUGGGAAACAGGUUAAUAUUCCUGUACUUGGUGUUACUGCGAAGGGGGGACGGAGAAGGCUAUGUUGGCCGGGCGACGGUUGUCCCGGUUUAAGCGUGUAGGCUGGUUUUCCAGGCAAAUCCGGAAAAUCAAGGCUGAGGCGUGAUGACGAGGCACUACGGUGCUGAAGCAACAAAUGCCCUGCUUCCAGGAAAAGCCUCUAAGCAUCAGGUAACAUCAAAUCGUACCCCAAACCGACACAGGUGGUCAGGUAGAGAAUACCAAGGCGCUUGAGAGAACUCGGGUGAAGGAACUAGGCAAAAUGGUGCCGUAACUUCGGGAGAAGGCACGCUGAUACGUAGGUGAAGUCCCUCGCGGAUGGAGCUGAAAUCAGUCGAAGAUACCAGCUGGCUGCAACUGUUUAUUAAAAACACAGCACUGUGCAAACACGAAAGUGGACGUAUACGGUGUGACGCCUGCCCGGUGCCGGAAGGUUAAUUGAUGGGGUCAGCGCAAGCGAAGCUCUUGAUCGAAGCCCCGGUAAACGGCGGCCGUAACUAUAACGGUCCUAAGGUAGCGAAAUUCCUUGUCGGGUAAGUUCCGACCUGCACGAAUGGCGUAAUGAUGGCCAGGCUGUCUCCACCCGAGACUCAGUGAAAUUGAACUCGCUGUGAAGAUGCAGUGUACCCGCGGCAAGACGGAAAGACCCCGUGAACCUUUACUAUAGCUUGACACUGAACAUUGAGCCUUGAUGUGUAGGAUAGGUGGGAGGCUUUGAAGUGUGGACGCCAGUCUGCAUGGAGCCGACCUUGAAAUACCACCCUUUAAUGUUUGAUGUUCUAACGUGGACCCGUGAUCCGGGUUGCGGACAGUGUCUGGUGGGUAGUUUGACUGGGGCGGUCUCCUCCUAAAGAGUAACGGAGGAGCACGAAGGUUGGCUAAUCCUGGUCGGACAUCAGGAGGUUAGUGCAAUGGCAUAAGCCAGCUUGACUGCGAGCGUGACGGCGCGAGCAGGUGCGAAAGCAGGUCAUAGUGAUCCGGUGGUUCUGAAUGGAAGGGCCAUCGCUCAACGGAUAAAAGGUACUCCGGGGAUAACAGGCUGAUACCGCCCAAGAGUUCAUAUCGACGGCGGUGUUUGGCACCUCGAUGUCGGCUCAUCACAUCCUGGGGCUGAAGUAGGUCCCAAGGGUAUGGCUGUUCGCCAUUUAAAGUGGUACGCGAGCUGGGUUUAGAACGUCGUGAGACAGUUCGGUCCCUAUCUGCCGUGGGCGCUGGAGAACUGAGGGGGGCUGCUCCUAGUACGAGAGGACCGGAGUGGACGCAUCACUGGUGUUCGGGUUGUCAUGCCAAUGGCACUGCCCGGUAGCUAAAUGCGGAAGAGAUAAGUGCUGAAAGCAUCUAAGUACGAAACUUGCCCCGAGAUGAGUUCUCCCUGACCCUUUAAGGGUCCUGAAGGAACGUUGAAGACGACGACGUUGAUAGGCCGGGUGUGUAAGCGCAGCGAUGCGUUGAGCUAACCGGUACUAAUGAACCGUGAGGCUUAACCUUACAACGCCGAAGCUGUU
This 2929-nucleotide ribosomal RNA is filed under the name Escherichia coli. RNAcentral's name for it is "23S ribosomal RNA". It matches the Rfam family "Bacterial large subunit ribosomal RNA". The record is from RNAcentral. Lineage: Bacteria; Pseudomonadati; Pseudomonadota; Gammaproteobacteria; Enterobacterales; Enterobacteriaceae.